Molecule: unclassified non-coding RNA, 133 nt
Filed under: uncultured Sporidiobolales
Lineage: Eukaryota; Fungi; Basidiomycota; Microbotryomycetes; Sporidiobolales
Description: sequence contains ITS1
Source: RNAcentral
AUGAAAUGAAGGACACUCUCUUUAGAGGUCCGACACAUUCAUUUUCCCACACUGUGCACCAUACUAUCUUUACACACAUUUUUAACUCGAAGUAAUAAGAAUGUAAUAGUCUCUUAAUUGAGCAUAAUUAAUA